GCCGCAGCAGACCUCCCGUUCAUCGGCAACACACUCGCACUCUUUGACGUCGUCAAAUUCGCCUUUCUUCUGCGAGUCAAAGUCCCGGUAGCCUCCGAGUCACCCAUGAUGACAAAAAACCUCCACUAUAAACCGACUGCAGCCUGUGCAGCGUGAUUCCACCGAGGAGACAUCUCAGCCGCAAAGAUGCAACAAUUUGAUGCAAUAUGCAGCCUUUUCUGUCAGCCUGUUCUACAAACCAGUAGAGGGAGUCCAAGUCUUGAAUGCUGUUCCUACCUUGUGGUGGAGAUGACUAGAAUGGAAGUGCUUAGAAAGAACAGACCUGGAGCUCACCCAGAGACAGACGCACACACUCGGCUUUUCUGCCCCGAAACCACGAAACAGGCACACAGCAACAACUUCAUCUGAAUACCCUUAAGAUGUUUAGACUGCAGUGCAAAGCUGCAAUGAGUGGCAAUACUCAGUUACAUGUAAGUUCAGAGAUAUUCCCAGUGGUUUUGUUUCGCAACUUUUGUACCCAUCGCACUGUAAUCAAGUGCUAUAACAAGUGUGUUGUUACUGUCUUCACUCUCAUUCAAACUGCAAUAAAAAGAUUUCAGUCAGGGUUUGCAAAUGUGGUCUCUUAGCCAUACUGAUGCUUUUAAUUUGUGUCUUUUAGCCCUCGUGUUUCCCCCCACAUAAUUUCAUGUUGUUAUCUAUUUUGUAUGUAUGGUUGUUGUUGUGAGUAUUUUGGCCAAGGCUUAAACACCACACAUUAAAAAGACAAAGACUAAAAUUUAAGCCCUAACAAGUGGAAGCUCAAUGACCAGUCGUCAACAAAAUUCAAAUAACUGCAGCUCAAAUCUGGUUCGCACAUCAUGGAGAGAGAUAAGACUUGCAGUUUGCUGACUCACAUACUGAUUGCUUCUUUCUUAUUGACUUGUGAGCCACAUUUUCCAGACAGAAUUUGUAAAAAACUAAAAGAUUGUACUGUCUGCAAAACCUUUAUUACAAAUGUUGACUAUUUAACCCCAGAACACUGUCAGAUCCGACUGCCUUUGAGAGGCCUUGAUGUCGCACAGGUCCUAUCACUUUAUCUCUGAGAUGUGGAUGAAAUUAGAUAAUGGCUCCAUGCACAGUACAGUCUUUUUUGUCCCUAUAACCCUCAAUGAUGUUGGAUAUCAGUCAGCCCCAUCUUGAACUGAGUUAUCUCAUGCCUGAGGAAGCAGUACAAUUAUCAAAAUUUCCUUUGUCAAAGAUUCAAAUCUGAAUAUUAAGCCCAUCUCAUA
This is a long non-coding RNA of Scatophagus argus, 1268 nucleotides long. RefSeq lists it as uncharacterized. The transcript is spliced from 3 exons. The record is from RefSeq and is a predicted model, not a curated record. Lineage: Eukaryota; Metazoa; Chordata; Actinopteri; Scatophagidae.